Molecule: transfer RNA, 67 nt
Filed under: Calanus finmarchicus
Lineage: Eukaryota; Metazoa; Arthropoda; Copepoda; Calanoida; Calanidae
Description: tRNA-Asn
Source: RNAcentral
AUUGACUAAAGCUUUUUAGAAGCAAAUCAUUGUUAAUGCUUAGAAGGAACAGAUUUCCUGGUCAAUA